Molecule: transfer RNA, 69 nt
Filed under: Marmota monax (woodchuck)
Lineage: Eukaryota; Metazoa; Chordata; Mammalia; Rodentia; Sciuridae
Description: tRNA.Ala
Rfam family: tRNA (bases 7-64)
About the family: Transfer RNA (tRNA) molecules are approximately 80 nucleotides in length. Their secondary structure includes four short double-helical elements and three loops (D, anti-codon, and T loops).
Source: RNAcentral
GGAAUAUAGCUCAGUUGGUAGAGUGCUUGCCUUGCAUGCAAAAAGCACUAGGUUCAAUCCCCAGCACCA